ACUAAAAAGUUUAUCUUUGUGAAAGAGAAGGAGUAUUAAAAUUAAGAUUAUUUUUGCAAAAUAUUGAUUAAAUGUUGUCGUUUAAAAAAAAAUUAAUCAAUUUGAUGUGAGAGGAAAUGCCUUGGGAAUAUUAACAUCACAUUCAACGAGACCGUUGGUGUCUCUACACCACAUGGCCCACAUUGAUCCAAUUUUCCCAAACUCAACCACAUUCUCGGCCGUCAGCCACCUCUUCUCCGCCGUAGAACUUGAUCCUCUACGUAUAUUUCAAGUCUCCGUUUGCUACGACCGUUGGCGCUCUACCGUUGGCGCUCUUGGACCAUCUCUUUCUCCUGGGGCUACGCUGUUCAGAUUGAGAGUAGGCAUUUAUUUCUACGGGAUGUUUUGCGAACACAAAAAACGUUUCGAACAUGGAUAAAUUACGGCGGGUUGGCAAGAGUGUACACCUUCAACACAAGAGAUGUUCAUCCUGAUCCACGCCAAAGACCUGUCACUUUCUUCAUGGAACAUGUUUCUUCUUCUCCCGGUGAUGGAACUAUUAAAAGUGUGUAUAAGCAAGCUUACCAGAAUUGCACGUACGAUCCCAUUUCAUCUCCUCGAAAAAUCAAAGAGGUUAGAGUGUUUUCAACAAGGUUGGAUCCGGAUAUCAGACAAUUGAAGGCUCCGAGAAGACAGUGUUGUGAUAUAUUACCAACUUCUUCUCAUGGUGGAAAAGUAUUGGAAAUUGGAAUUCGAGAGUGCAAAGAGGAUGAGUUCAUCUAUAUACAUCCCUAGUAGCAACGUAACUAAUACGCUAUUAAUAACCUCUUUUUGUUUGUUACACUUGCUAUCCAAAUUUAACAUAUGUCGUUGCCAUAUAGGUUUAGUGAUUCUUCAUUUUUUCUGGUAAGAAGUUAUUCUUCAUUUUUGUAUACUAUAUACUUAUUAAA
Molecule: long non-coding RNA, 929 nt
Organism: Brassica oleracea var. oleracea
Lineage: Eukaryota; Viridiplantae; Streptophyta; Magnoliopsida; Brassicales; Brassicaceae
Exons: 3
Source: RefSeq, a predicted model, not a curated record